AUGUAUUUUGCAUCACUUGGUGAUGCAAAUAUACACCACCAACCGCGCGGUGAUGUAAAAUGGCCACCCACUGCGCGAACUGCCUUUGGACCCUCACCCCCCAACGCCGCCUGCCCACCGUACCCCGCCGCCGGCAGAUCCGGCCUUCCCACCACCGCCGCCGCCGGAUCCGUAGCUUUCCCGCCGCCGCACGUCUCGAAAUCGCCAUAUUUGAAGCCACCGCCACCCGAUUCAGAACUUCUCCGAUGCCGUCGUUGCCCCGCCGCCACCCGAUUUGCAGCUUCUCCGCCCUGCCACCGCCGAUUCGAAGCUUCUCCGCCCCGUCGCCUCCCGAUUCGAAGCUUCUCCGCCCCGCCGCUACCGAUUCAAAUCCGCACCCGCGCCGCCGCCAUGCCGCCGAAGAGGGUCUCGAAGAGCAGGACCGGCUACUUCGGGGUGCGGGAGAAGCCGUCUGGGAACUUCGGUGCCGAGUUCCUGCGUGACGGCUAUCGCUACUGGCUCGACACCUUCAAGUACCUAGAGGUGGCUGCACGUGCGUACGACGUCGCCGCUUGGUGUUUCGGCCGGUCAAGGCACGAGAUGAACUUCCCGGAUAUCGAAACCUGGGAGGAUGUGGAGUUCAUCGGAUCGAAGAAUCUUAAGAUACGACAGACGGACGGGGAGGAGGAGGAGGAGGAGGAGUAG
Molecule: ribosomal RNA, 684 nt
Filed under: Triticum aestivum (bread wheat)
Lineage: Eukaryota; Viridiplantae; Streptophyta; Magnoliopsida; Poales; Poaceae
Description: partial small subunit ribosomal RNA
Source: RNAcentral